RNAcentral lists this ribosomal RNA (253 nucleotides) under uncultured bacterium. RNAcentral describes it as "partial 16S ribosomal RNA". It matches the Rfam family "Bacterial small subunit ribosomal RNA", at positions 524 to 776 of the family's 1533-position model. The record is from RNAcentral.
CACGUAGGGUGCAAGCGUUGUCCGGAAUUAUUGGGCGUAAAGAGCUCGUAGGCGGUCUGUCGCGUCGGAUGUGAAAACCCAGGGCUCAACCCUGGGCCUGCAUUCGAUACGGGCAGACUAGAGUUCGGUAGGGGAGACUGGAAUUCCUGGUGUAGCGGUGAAAUGCGCAGAUAUCAGGAGGAACACCGGUGGCGAAGGCGGGUCUCUGGGCCGAAACUGACGCUGAGGAGCGAAAGCGUGGGGAGCAAACAGG